UUCUAGGUGUAUUUUAUGGUGCCCGUACCGUAAACGGACACACGUAGGCGAGGAGAGAAUCCAAAGACGCGCGAGAUAAUUCUUGUUAAGGAACUCUGCAAAAUUACUCUGUAACUUCGGAAUAAAGAGGGCUCCCGUGAGGGAGACGCAGAAAAUAGGCCCAAGCGACUGUUUAACAAAAACAUAGGUUUCUGCUAAAGCGUAAGCUGAUGUAUAGGAGCUGACGCCUGCCCAGUGCUGGAAGGUUAAGAGGAGAAGUUAGUCGCAAGGCGAAGCUUUGAAUUGAAGCCCCAGUAAACGGCGGCCGUAACUAUAACGGUCCUAAGGUAGCGAAAUUCCUUGUCAGGUAAGUUCUGACCCGCACGAAAGGCGUAACGAUUUGGGCGCUGUCUCAACAAGAAACUCGGUGAAAUCAUAGUACCUGUGAAGAUGCAGGUUACCCGCGAUCAGACGGAAAGACCCCAUGGAGCUUUACUGCAACUUAAUAUUGAUAUUGGGUGUGUGAUGUACAGGAUAGGUGGGAGACAAAGAAGCGAGUACGCUAGUAUUCGUGGAGUCAACCUUGGGAUACCACCCCUCGCACAUUUAGUAUCUAACUAGUUUCCAUAAGCUGGGAAUAGAACAGUGUUAGGUGGGCAGUUUGACUGGGGCGGUCGCCUCCCAAAGAGUAACGGAGGCGCCCAAAGGUUCCCUCAGAAUGGUUGGAAAUCAUUCAUAGAGUGUAAAGGCAGAAGGGAGCUUGACUGCGAGACGGACAGGUCGAGCAGGAACGAAAGUUGGGCUUAGUGAACCGGCUGUGCUGAAUGGAAAGGCAGUCGAUCAACGGACAAAAGCUACCCUGGGGAUAACAGGCUGAUCUCCCCCAAGAGUUCACAUCGACGGGGAGGUUUGGCACCUCGAUGUCGGCUCGUCGCAUCCUGGGGCUGGAGAAAGUCCCAAGGGUUGGGCUGUUCGCCCAUUAAAGCGUCACGCGAGCUGGGUUCAGAACGUCGUGAGACAGUUCGGUCCCUAUCUGUCGUGGGCGUAGGAAAUUUGAAGGGAGUUGUCCCUAGUACGAGAGGACCAGGAUGAACGCACCGCUGGUGCACCAGUUGGCUUGCCAAGGCCACAGCUGGGUAGCUACGUGCGGCCGGGAUAAACGCUGAAAGCAUCUAAGCGUGAAGCCCCCCCUGAGAUGAGAUUUCCCAUUAGAAAUAAGUAAGACCCCUUAGAGAUGAUGAGGUUGAUAGGUCAGAGAUGUAAGCACUGCGAGGUGUUGAGUUGACUGAUACUAAUAGGUCGAGGACUUAACCU
Molecule: ribosomal RNA, 1293 nt
Filed under: human gut metagenome
Description: bacterial LSU rRNA
Rfam family: Bacterial large subunit ribosomal RNA
Source: RNAcentral